This 90-nucleotide transfer RNA is filed under the name Cinara cedri. It matches the Rfam family "tRNA". From Rfam's summary of the family: Transfer RNA (tRNA) molecules are approximately 80 nucleotides in length. Their secondary structure includes four short double-helical elements and three loops (D, anti-codon, and T loops). Lineage: Eukaryota; Metazoa; Arthropoda; Insecta; Hemiptera; Aphididae. The record is from Rfam by way of RNAcentral.
CCUUCGGUAGCUCAGUUGGUAGAGCGGUGGACUGUAGUGUACGUAAUCAUAGAUAUCCAUAGGUCGCUGGUUCAAAUCCGGCCCGAAGGA